This 460-nucleotide ribosomal RNA is filed under the name uncultured bacterium. RNAcentral describes it as "partial 16S ribosomal RNA". It matches the Rfam family "Bacterial small subunit ribosomal RNA", at positions 338 to 795 of the family's 1533-position model. The record is from RNAcentral.
CCUACGGGAGGCAGAAGUGAGGAAUAUUGGUCAAUGGGCGCAAGCCUGAACCAGCCAAGUCGCGUGAGGGAUGACGGUCCUAUGGAUUGUAAACCUCUUUUGUCGGGGAGCAAGGCCCGCCACGUGUGGCGGGAAGGAGAGUACCCGAAGAAAAAGCAUCGGCUAACUCCGUGCCAGCAGCCGCGGUAAUACGGAGGAUUCGAGCGUUAUCCGGAUUUAUUGGGUUUAAAGGGUGCGUAGGCGGAAGGUUAAGUCAGCGGUAAAAUGUCGGUGCUCAACACCGGCCUGCCGUUGAAACUGGUCUUCUUGAGUGAGCGAGAAGUAUGCGGAAUGCGUGGUGUAGCGGUGAAAUGCAUAGAUAUCACGCAGAACUCCGAUUGCGAAGGCAGCAUACCGGCGCUCAACUGACGCUGAGGCACGAAAGCGUGGGGAUCGAACAGGAUUAGAUACCCUAGUAGUC